Molecule: ribosomal RNA, 600 nt
Filed under: uncultured Alphaproteobacteria bacterium
Lineage: Bacteria; Pseudomonadati; Pseudomonadota; Alphaproteobacteria
Description: bacterial SSU rRNA
Rfam family: Bacterial small subunit ribosomal RNA
Source: RNAcentral
CAUGCAAGUCGAACGGAGGCCCGAGCUUGCUAGGUGUCCUUAGUGGCGCACGGGUGAGUAACACGUGGGAACAUACCUCAUAGUACGGAAUAACUGCGGGAAACUGUAGCUAAUAGCGUAUAUUCCAGUAAUGGGAAAGAUUUAUCGCUAUGAGAUUGGCCCGCGCAAGAUUAGCUUGUUGGUGAGGUAAUGGCUCACCAAGGCUCCGAUCUUUAGCUGGUUUGAGAGGACGAUCAGCCACACUGGGACUGAGACACGGCCCAGACUCCUACGGGAGGCAGCAGUAGGGAAUAUUGGACAAUGGGGGAAACCCUGAUCCAGCAAUGCAGCGUGAGUGACGAAGGCCUUAGGGUUGUAAAACUCUUUCAUCGGUGAGGAUAAUGACAGUAGCCGAAGAAGAAGGACCGGCUAAUUCCGUGCCAGCAGCCGCGGUAAUACGGAAGGUCCUAGCGUUGUUCGGAAUUACUGGGCGUAAAGCGCAUGUAGGCGGAACAAAAAGUUAGAAGUGAAAUCCCUGGGCUCAACCUAGGAAUUGCUUUUAAAACUUUUGUUCUGGAAUUCAGGAGAGGAAAAUGGAAUUUCCAGUGUAGAGGUGAAAUU